RNAcentral lists this long non-coding RNA (13467 nucleotides) under Lathyrus oleraceus (garden pea). Its description in RNAcentral is "Pisum sativum (pea) long non-coding RNA (PSAT_LNC020978)". Lineage: Eukaryota; Viridiplantae; Streptophyta; Magnoliopsida; Fabales; Fabaceae. The record is from RNAcentral.
ACAUAGAACCAUAAUCAAUGUAAAUAAACAAUGCUUGAAUACUUUGAGAUAACAACUCACAAUUCAAAACUGAACCAGGAAAGAAAGAAAGAAUCAGGCAAUGCUUUAAAACAAACAUAGAUUUUAUUGAAGACGACAAAUUGAAUCACAUCAUAACAUAUAACAUAAAUGUAAAACCAAACGGAAAAUGUGUUGCUGCAGAUCGAUCCAAGUUAAACGCAAGGGUCACCGCUCAUCACCAGUUUCUAUUGCCACAACCGUUUGCUUUACAGGGGCUCUAUCAACCGACAAUACAAGAUGCCGACGCUUCGUCCCUGUCACGUUGGCCUUCCUCGGAGUGCAUUCCGCAUCUGUGUUCCACUAUUUCAAUAUGCUAGUUCUAUUUGUCGACGAUGAAGGUCCGCGUUUUGACGGAGACGAGUAAGGAAAUAGAUCGCGAUUGAGAUGGCGGAGAGGGUUGACGAACGGAGAGUGGAGCUGGUGAUUGUUUAUGGAUGAUUCGGCGGUGAUUGUAGAUCUGGCCGAGGGUUAUUAGGAUAAUGAUGAUGGAAGUGGGUUAAGAGGAUUCGUCGGCGAGGCGGAGGGUUAAAGGUUUAGCGGUGGUUGAAGAUUUAUGUGGUGGUCGACUAGAUCAGUGGUGGAUUUGUGAACGGAAGAUGGAGGAUGAUGGAGGGUGAAUGACGGUGGUUCCUGGGGUUCGUCGGCGGAUUGCGCUUUGUUUUUUGUUGUUGGUGAGCGGUGGAAUCGAAGCUUGGAGUGAGUGGAAUGGGGUUUUCCGGCAAGAUCGGUGGUAGUUGAGUUUAGCGAUGGAGGUGUCGUGUGGGUUAACGGCAAUGGAGGUUGUGCAUUUGAAGAUGGGUUGAGAUGGUGGUAAAUGGUGGUGGUUAUGAGAGAGGAAGAAGGAUUUUUAUUUGUUUUAUCUUUUUCAGAGAGAGAGAGAUGAGAUUUGUGAGGAAUUGAAAGAGUGGAGGUAGCGUGAGGGAGUUUGAGAAUUCUGUUGUGAGAUUCUCUUAUUAGAGUGUGAGGAGUUUGUUAGAGGGCGCGUGGGGAGAGUGAAGAAAGAUUUUUAUUAUUAUAUUUUCUUUACUAAAUAAUCUAGAAAGAUCCUUUUAGUGGCAGUUGGGAAUGGAAGAGCUGUCAACUUGCAAGACAAAAAGAAUCCAAUGCUAUCUAUAUACAUUUAUUUGAAAUCUGAAAAUUAUAAAGUAUUUAACAAUUAUAUUAAAAAUAGAAUCAAUUCACCAAAAUAAAUUCAAACUAAUUACGUAAUAAAUUCUAAUUUAUUCCAAUGAUAUCUUGAUUAAGAAAAUAAAAGUCGGGAACAAAUAUUCUCGAAAAAUUAAAUUGGACAAGCUAAAAUGAUCAGCACAAAAUAUAUUUAUUGAAAAAAUACAGCGUUUUCUUCAAAUUUUAAUGAUUCAACCGAUUUGUCUGUAUUCUCAAAUAAAUUCAUUCUGACUGACAUUUUAGGUACUAUUCAUGAUGGAAUGUAUGUCAUGCUAUGCAUAUGAUGCAAAAAUAAAAAUGAAAUCAAUUCUGUGAAAAUUUAAAUAUGCCCGGACAAAAUUGGGGUAUGACAGUCCCUACCCUGCAACAAGUAAAGUCUUGGUUGGGGAAAUGCUUUUCUAUGAAGGACCUAGGUGAAGCAGCCUAUAUUUUAGGAAUUAAAAUCUAUAGAGAUAGAUCACAAAAACUGCUUGGCCUAAGUCAGAGUACAUACAUAGACAAAGUGCUGAGACGCUUUAAUAUGCAUGAUUCCAAGAAAGGAUUCAUACCUAUGCAACAUGGCCUGUGUCUAUCAAAAACACAAUCCCCUUCAACUAAGGAAGAAAGGGAUCGCAUGAAUAAGAUUCCAUAUGCAUCUGCAAUAGGAUCUAUCAUAUAUGCCAUGUUAUGUACUCGACCAGAUGUCUCGUAUGCUUUAAGUGCAACGAGUAGGUACCAAUCUGAUCGUGGUGAUGCCCAUUGGCUAGCUGUCAAGAAUAUCCUUAAUUACUUGAGAAGGACUAAGGACUCAUUCUUGAUAUAUGGAGGUCAGGAAGAGUUAGCUGUAUUUGGAUACACUCAUUCUAGCUUCCAGACAGAUAAGGAUGACUUUAGAUCACAAUCUAGUUAUGUGUUUUGCUUAAACGGUGGCGAUGUGAGCUGGAAAAGUUCAAAGCAAGAUACAGUUGUUGAUUCUACAAUCGAGGCCGAGUAUAUUGUUUCCUCAAGUGAAGCAAAGGAAGUUGUUUGGAUCGAAAAGUUCAUUAGUGAACUUGAAAUAGUUCCUAGCAUUGUGGGUCCCAUUGGUCUCUAUUGUGAUAACAAUGGUGCUACCGCACAAGCUAAGGAGCCUAGAUCUCACCAACGAUCCAAAUACAUACUCAGGCGUUAUCACCUCAUUCGAGAGAUAAUAGAUAGAGGAGAUGUGAAAAUAUGUAGAGUACCUACACUUGACAAUAUUGCUGACCCACUGACAAAGCCUCUUGCGCAGCAGCCAUACUAGAUCAAUGGCAUUAGGGGUAUGCCUGAUUGGCUCUUAGUGCUAGUGGGAGAUUGUUGGUGUAGCCUAGAGGCAAUACUUUUGGUACUUGUAUCGAAUAUUUAUUAAUUAAUAAAAGGCUUUUUCUUUAUUAUGUUUGAUUAAUAAAGUCCCUAGAAUAGCUAGUCCGUUUAAUGUAUCAAGUAUGACUUAAUCAUGAGAUCACAUUAAACAUAAGGACAUUAUUCUAUCCGUAGUCGAGCUUUAUUGUGAAGUGGGAUAACAUUAAAGCAUUAAGACUAUUAUGUUUGUAGAUCGAUGAUCACAUCUCAUGGAUCAUGGAUAAAGAGUUAUCAAGUCUUAAACAUAGGUAUGAAUAUUAAGAGUAAUAUUUAUACCACAUUGACCCGCUAUGAGAAUACUAUAUAGAAAGUUAUGCAAAGUUUCAUAAGUUACUCUCAUGGUGAUAAUGGUGUAUACCACUCUUCAACCUGAAACCACUAUGGAUCCUAGAUGUAGAGUCGAGUGCUUUAUUGCUGAUCCAACGUUGUCCGUAAUUGGAUAACCAUAAAGACAGUUGAUGGGUAUUCCACGAAGCAUGGUGAGGGACAUGAGUGACCUAGAUGGAAUUUGCCCAUCCUACGUAACAGGAUAAAUGUCUACGGGCCCAAUAUUGAACUGGACAAGGAUGACACGGUCUAUACCUUGUGUUCAAUAUAGACAUAAGGGCAAAGGGGUAAUUAUAUACAUAAUUAUUAUCACAGGAGGUUUUGUCAGAUCACAUGACAUUGUAGCAGAGAUGUUGUGGCUAAUACCGCUCCACUUAAGUUUAUUCAUGUUAAAUGCGAUUUAAUAUAAGUGCCACCGUCGCGAAAACCUACAGGGUCAACACAAAGGUACGGUGUACUUAAGUAGAAUACGAAAUAUGGUAAGGUACCAAAUACUUAAGUGAUUUUGGUAUAUUAUGAGAUAUGGGCCAAAAUACACUUAAGUGGGCUUUUAGCUUGAAGCCCACACAAGUGGUUCUAUAAAUAGAACACUUGGGUAGAAGCAUUGAGACUCAGACUAAGACUCAAGUGAAGACUUGGAAUUUCGUUUCUCUCUCUCUCUCUCACUCAAAGCCUUCAUUCAUAGCAGCUAGCACUGAGAUUGAAGGAAUCCGUUCGUGUGGACUGAGUAGAGACGUUGUCAUCGUUCGACGUUCAUGAUCGCUCCGUGGAUUUGUAUCCAAGAUUUUGAUCGUUACAAGAGAUAUGCACCAAAGGUUUGAAUCUCCACAAGAGGUAACGAUUCUAUCACUGAUCAUGCCCAUUCGUAAGGAUCACUAAAUGGAGGAAUUUUUAAAUUCCGCUGCGCCUUGGAUGGCAAUUCUCCUUCAGCUGCAACGGCUCACUUUGUGUCAUCUAUGCCAGCCGGGUUCCCUUGGGGAAUGCCUGCCAACUUUGUACCCGAGGGUUUUGCUCCAACUCUCGCUUCUCUGCCGGCAUCUAGGCCGGUCCUUUCUGUGCCACCUCCCGUUGUGCACACCUUACCUAGAGUGGAAGACACCAUCUAUCAUUCUGAGCCACCUGAGGGCCCAAAUGUUUAUGAAAAGAUGGACGAGAUGAAAGACCAAUUCCUUGAGCUGCGCAAGGAACUGAAGACUCUGAGGGGUAAGGACCUCUUUGGUAAAAGUGUUGAUGAGUUGUGCCUUGUGCCCAAUGUUAGGAUCCCGAUUAAAUUCAAAGUGCCUGACUUUGAGAAAUAUAAGGGAAACACCUGCCCUCUUAGCCAUCUUGUGAUGUAUGCUCGCAAUAUGUCAACGCAAACAGACAACGAUCAACUUCUUAUCCACUUCUUCCAGGACAGUCUGUCUAGUGCUGCUCUCCGAUGGUACAUGGGUCUGGAGAGUGUAAACAUCCUCUCCUUCAACGAUCUUGGCGAGGCCUUUGUCAAACAAUACAAAUACAAUGUGGAUAUGACUCCCGAUAGGGACCAGUUAAGGGCGAUGUCCUAGAAAGAGAAAGAGACUUUCAAAGAGUACGCCCAGAGAUGGCGCGAGUUGGCAGCUCAGAUAGUGCCACCCCUUGAAGAGAAAGAAAUGACAAAGAUCUUUUUGAAGACUUUAAGUUAUUUCUACUAUGAGAGGAUGAUUGCCAGUGCUCCCUCGGACUUCACCGAAAUGGUGAAUAUGGGAAUGAGACUGGAAGAAGGAGUCCGUGAAGGACGUCUAUCCAAGGAUGAAGGCUCUUCAGCAAAGAGAUAUGGGAGCUUUGCGAAGAAGAAGGAGGGAGAGGCACAUGUUGUGUCCUCCCAUAUCAAGAGAAGACCCUCUGUGAAGAGGAAGAAUGUGCGUCUUGCCGUUAGCCAACACCAGGUGGCUCAUAUAGCACCUGCCUUUAGAGAAGUUCAACAUCAUCAAUAAUAAUAACAACAACAAUAUCAACAACAACAUCGUCCACAACAACAGGCCUACCAGCCUCGAAACAACAAUAACACCAGCACCAGCUACGAUAGGAAGAGGGUCACUUUUGAUCCAAUUCCAAUGACUUAUGCUGAACUUUAUCCUUCUCUGAUCGAUAGAAAGUUGAUUACUCCACGAGACCCUCCCGCUAUACCUACCAACCCUCAGUGGUGGUAUAAGCCUGAACUACACUAUGUAUAUCAUUUCGGUGCUCCUGGACAUGAUGUGGAGAAUUGUUAUCCCUUGAAGACCAAGGUGCAAGACCUUGUGAGAAGUGGAUUUUUUUUUCCGAGGACGUAGGUCCUAAUGUGAGGAAGAACCCAUUGCCCGAGACAGGGAAAGCUGCUGUGAAUAUGGUCCAGGGUUGUCCUGGUAAAUAUAAAGUCCUGUAUGUCAAUGAUAUCAGGCAAUCUUCGGUCGAGAUGCAUAAACUGUUGUGUGGAUACAAUCACUAUGAGCAUGACCAUGACAGGUGCCAGGUGUGCACUGUCAAUGAGAGAGGAUGCCAACAAGUUAGAAAGGACAUUCGAGAGAUACUGGAUCAGGGAAUGAUCGAGAUACUUCAAAAUCGCAACGAGGAUGAAGUUGAUGUUAUCUCUCCUGUAUUCAGGAUUCCAGAACCUGUUGUUGUCAAAUAUAAUGGCAGCAAAAAGAAGGUCUCUCCAACUCUUGUGAUUAAACCAGUGGGCCCUGUCCCGUACGUAUGUGACAAAGUUGUUCCCUACAGAUACAAUGUAGUGAUGCUAGAGGAUGGGAAGGAGGUGCAGUUGCCCUCAACCUCUAUUGUGAGCAUCUCAGACGUCAGUGGUGUGACCCGUAGUGGUCGUAUUUUCUCGGCUCCGCUGAAAUCCCAUGAAGACGUUGUGGGGAAAGCUGUGGUUAAUCCUGCCGGUCCCGUGGGGACUUCUUCUUCUGAUAAUAUUAUUGUGAAGGGUAUUGACCCUGUUGUUGAUAGAACUCCUGUCCUGGUUGGCCAGCAUGGCAUUCUGAAAGAGGACUGUGAUGAGAUGCUGAGAAUCAUCAAAAGGAGAGAAUAUAAUGUUGUUGAUCAGCUGCUACAAACUCCAUCAAAGAUAUCUGUGUUAUCUUUGUUGAUGAAUUCUGAGCCACACCGAGAAGCUUUGCAGAGGGUGUUGGACUUGGCAUACGUGGACCACGAUGUCACUAUUGAGCAGUUUGAUAGCAUUGUUGCAAACAUAACUGCUUGUAACAAUUUGAGCUUUUGUGAUGCUGAUCUUCCCGAGGAGGGAAAAGACCACAAUUUGACUCUACACAUUUCAAUGAAUUGCAAAGAUGAUGCCUUGUCUAAUGUGUUGGUAGACACAGGAUCAUCGCUUAAUGUGUUGCCAAAAUCCACUCUGGCUAAUCUUUCUUAUCAGGGGCCUCCUAUGAGGCAGAGUGGAGUGGUUGUUAAAGGUUUUGAUGGAUCGAGGAAAACUGUGAUUGGCGAAGUAGAACUCCCGAUCAAGAUUGGACCUAGUGAUUUCUAGAUCACUUUCCAGGUCAUGGAUAUCCAUCCAUCAUACAACUGUUUGCUUGGUAGAUCAUGGAUUCACGAGGCAGGCGCCGUGACAUCCAUCCUACACCAGAAAUUGAAAUUCGUUAAGAAUAAGAAGUUGGUGGUGAUAGGGGGAGAGAAAUCUCUCUUGGUUAGCCAUUUAUCUUCCUUUUCCUACAUAGAUGCUGAGGAUGAGGUUGGAACUCCGUUCCAAGCCUUGUCUAUUGCUGAGCCUUCAAGGAAAUGACUUUCUUCAUUUGCUUCCUACAAUGAUGCUAAGUUGGCCAUUGAGCAUGGUGUAACUACUGGUUUGGGGCAAAUGAUCAAAUUGGAAGAUAAUAAAUCCCGAGCUGGCAUAGGGUACUCUUCCGGUGUUUCUAAUGAGCGUGGGUUAUUCCAGAGUGGAGGUUUCAUCCACAAUAUUGAAGAUCAAGAGGCUGCUUCCAUCGUUGAAGAUUUAUACAAUGAGCGUGGCACAUAUUUGAUUUAUACAAUGAUAUCCACUCAAAAAUUACAUGUUAAAUGUUUGUUUUUCCAAAUUAUUUUCCCUUUUUUCUUUUUGCAUGAAAUUGGUGAUCACCAUAAAACCCUAAAUAGAGAAUAAAAUCAAUAUUUUCAUCUGCAUAAUGAUUUGCCUUGUUUGAAUUCUGAAAUUUCUUUUAUACUCAAAAUCAUUAUGCAGGUUGAUCAAACCCAUUGAACAUAAUGAUCCAACACCAUCUCCCAACUUUGAGUUCCAUGUAUUUGAGGCAGGAGAAGAUGAUGUUGAAGAGAUUCCUGAUGAGAUUACCCGUCUGCUUAAGCACGAGGAGAAGAUCAUUCAUCCGCAUCUUGAGAAUCUGGAAACAAUCAACUUGGGGUCUGAAGACUGCAUCCGAGAAGUGAAGAUUGGGGCACUCCUUGAAGAGUCUGUGAAGAAGGGGUUAAUUGAGUUGCUACGAGAAUAUGUCGAUGUCUUAGCCUGGUCGUAUGAAGACAUGCCUGGUCUAGAUACUGAUAACGUGCAACAUUUCUUACCAUUGAAGCCUGAGUGUGUACCUGUGAAGCAGAAGCUCAGAAGAACUCAUCCUGAUAUGGCAGUGAAGAUUAAAGAAGAAGUUCAGAAGCAAAUUGAUGCGGGGUUUCUGGUGACUUCUACAUAUCCUUUAUGGGUGGCCAAUAUUGUGCCUGUGCCUAAGAAAGAUGGAAAAGUCUGAAUGUGUGUGGAUUACCGUGACUUGAAUAAAGCUAGUCCGAAAGAUGAUUUUCCUCUACCACAUAUUGAUAUGUUGGUAGAAAAUACAGCUAAAUUCAAUGUCUUCUCAUUUAUGGACAGAUUUUCCGGCUAUAAUCAUAUUAAAAUGGCACCCGAGGAUAUGGAGAAGACAACAUUCAUCACACCUUGGGGAACAUUCUGUUAUCGAGUGGUGCCCUUCGGUUUGAAGAACGCCGGAGCCACGUAUCAACGAGCUAUGACUACCUUAUUUCAUGAUAUGAUGCACAAGGAGAUCGAGGUAUAUGUUGAUGAUAUGAUUGCAAAGUCAAAAACGAAAGUUGAACAUGUUAAGCACUUGUUGAAGCUUUUCCAGCGUUUGAGGAAGUACAAACUCCACUUGAAUCCGAACAAGUGUACAUUUGGAGUCCGUUCCGGCAAGUUAUUAGGCUUUAUUGUCAGCGAAAGAGGUAUUGAAGUUGAUCCUGCCAAGGUCAAAGCAAUACUGGAGAUGCCUGUGCCCAAAACUGAGAAGCAAGUCCGAGGUUUUCUCGGCCGCUUGAAUUAUAUUUCGAGAUUUAUAUCCCACAUGACUGCCACAUGUGUAACACCUCAAAAUUUGCCCUCCUCUUCUUGGGACUAGUUUAGCAUAUUGCAUUUCAUGUUUUAGGACAUUAGGCAUUUGCAUAUUGCAUAUCAUAUGGAAAUAAGAGAUCAUCCUCCAAAAGUCUUUUUCAGAAGAUAGAGAGGUUAAGAGAUUCGAGCCUGAGGGUUUCUAUGGAUUGGUGAUCAACCAUCUGAGGGUUUGCAGUGCAUUAGGGUUUCUUGAUCCUUCAAGGAGAUUGUGCAUUAUCUUGUUUGCAAGGAUAUGUCACCAUCAUCAUGGUUAUGUCAUCCUUAAGGGCUUCAUUGUUCAUGCUCAGGUUCCUCUGGAUUAGGGUUUUGACCUUUGGUCAACCCUAAUCAAUGGCAUUCUCCCAGCUAGGGUUUCUCAAGGAGAUGAGGUUUUCUUUUGAGAUGAAGAUCACAUGAGUAUCAUAUUGAGCUUACAUGAGCUAGGGUUUCAUUUCUAAGACAAUUCCUCAAGUGGUAAAGGUUCAAGCUGAUCAGAGCAUGUCAAGGUCAUCUAAGGACCUAUGCAGUCAACUGUGCAGUCAACUGAGGGCUAUGAGGUGGGGAAAUGAGUUUCAACAUCUCCAUCAUGUUUAAAAGAGGUUCAUUUGUCAUUUCAAACAUCUAUCUUGAAGAAUUUGAAGUCAAGGCAAAAGUUUCCAAAAAUGGAAAGUGACCUGUAAUUGAAAGUUUCCAAAAAUGGCAAGUUUUUGGUUCACAUUCAACUUGACUUUCCAACAUCAAAGAAGCUUCAAAUGAAUUUUUGGGCAACAUUAAAGUUGAAGGUAUUUCUCUCCCAUUUCCAAAAAGUCCUAGAUCAUGAGCAUCUGAUGAAUGGUUGAGAAGUUAUGAUCCAAUGAUUGCAAAGUGUACUUGGAACUUCAAAGUGCCAUAACUUUUGAUCCAAAACUCCAAAUUGAGUCCCUCUCUUUGCAAAAUUCUCCUUGUGACCAAAAUGCUCCAAAUUGAGCUUUGUAUUUCAGGUUCAAGCAUCUAGCUCUAGUGGUUGAUGUGAUCUCAUUACUUGAGAUGCAAAUUACUUUGUCCAUUAACCUUUAUUGUGUUGUAGGACCCUUGGUGAUGAACUCACUUGAGUUGUUUACACAUAGGACUUGUAUUGUGUACAUAUUGGAAGAGAACCACUGUGAUUGUCUAUUUGGUUUGUCUGAAUACAAUAUUGACUUGUUUGACUUUUGUACAGGUACAUUAGUCGCUUCUAGCUUGCUUUUGCUUUGCUUUGGAGUGUGAUUAGUACACCACUGAGGUAGUUUAGCCUUCUAACUCCAUGUAGUCUGGAAGCCCUGUCGCUUUUUUGGCAGGCGUUUGGCUGAAGUCCUCCUUAAGAGGCAAUGACUGUGUUUGUUUACAUUUAUGCUGUUACUUGUGAAGUCCUCCUAAGUGAAGAGGCAAUUGACAGAUAGAAGGGACUAGUAGCCAGUCCCCUGUUAGUCGUUGAGUCGUUCAUUAUGCUCGCACUACGUGCUGACGCUCUUCGAACCUAACCCAAGAUUUUGUAUGAGGUGGUUCAAGUGGAAUAGGGUCCCUCAUUCUGACCCCGCGCUUUCAUUGAUUCAAGCUCACCCAGGCCAGGGUUAAGAGCCAUGAGGUCUAACCCUCAUUACCUUCAUCUGCUCACCUGACGGUCAUGUCAGUGUUUUAAGAGCUUCGGACACCAUAACAGUUUUGGCUUGUUUGUCGAGGUUGAUAUGACCCCUUGACUAAAGCCCAACCAGUUUGUCUGAGCCUCUUGUUUGCAUAUAGAGUGUGAUGAUUGCUUUUGAUGUUUAUCUGCUUUCCGCUUCUUAUCUCCUGUUCUGUAGGAGUCGUAUGAUCAACUUUCGAGGAAGUUGAACGUACGUAGAGAUAGACUUGAGUUGACUCACUUCCUGUGUGAGUCAAACUCUUGUUAGAAACCUCAACCUAGGGUUAUAAUUUGCAUGACGACUAUUAGGCUCGAGUCAGUCUCCCUUUUAGUUUGUUAUUCCCAUGGUCUCUGGUUAGGAGAGUUUCUCCCCUGUUCAGGGGAACUACGUCGCCCUGAUCCUCAUACCAGAUGAGGUACGUAGGCAGGAGAUCGUGCGAGAUCUCUCCGGGCACCCUUUUUCUUUUUGAGUGUGUUUUGCUUGAUGACUUUUAGGUCCGAGUUCCCGACUCCCUAUUAGUUUGUGUGUUUAGCCUUUUGUUUCUUUCGACGUCUCACCGUCUUCUCGGUGUUUGCGUGACAACUAUUAGGCUCGAGUUCUAGACUCCCUUUUAGUUUGUCAAUUGGAGAACCUUUGGUGUUCGCUGGUUAGCGAUUGUUUGUGUGCUUGGAGUCGGAUGUAAGCCCAUCUAUUGGCAUUCUGUUUCCUGUUUGUUUUGUGGAGUCGGAUGUAAGCCCAUCUAUUGGCAUUCUGUUUCCUUGUUUGCCUUUGUUUGGAGUCGGAUAUAAAUCCAGCUAUUGACAUUCCGUUUCCUUGUUGAGUUUCUUUUGACGUCUCAGCAUCUCUGUGUGUGUUUUGUUUCGGCGUGCGUUAGCCGAACUACGAAUGUUCUGAUUCUUCCUCUGGAUAGAGAAGAUACGUAGGCAUAGGAUGUGAUGUCCUAGCGAGCCUGUUCCCCAUUUCCCCGAACUAUGUUGACUCUGAUGUUUGUUUCUGACAAACUACGUAGGCCCAGGAUGUGACAUCCUGCCGAGUCCCCUUCCUCUGUCUUCUUUCACAUUGUUUUAUUCCAGUGUGUGCAGUUUUUGAGCAGUUUGUUAGCAACCUUUUCCUAUCUUGUGGAGCGUGGAUCCCGUCGAGUACGGCGGACGUGAGGGGUGCUAAUACCUUCCCCUUGCGUAACCGACUCCCGUACCUUGCAAUCUCUGGUCGUAAGACCAUUCCUUUCCCUUUUUCAGGUUUACUUUGGACGUGAGGGGUGCUAAUACCUUCCCCUUGCGUAACCGACUCCCGUACCUUGCAAUCUCUGGUCGUAAGACCAUUCCUUUCCCUUUUUCAGGUUUACUUCGAGCAUUUCCUUUCCCUCCUUUGGGAAAAAUAACGCACGGUGGCGGCUCUAUGUGUUCUUUCCGCCGGUUGUUUUUCGCGAUGCGACAGCUGGCGACUCUGCUGGGGAAUUUAAAGUUGAUCUUUUGCUGGUCCAUCUUCCUUAAGCGAGUCAAUCCUAGCGCUCUUUAGGAUAGUUUUGGUUGCUUCUACUGCUCUAUUUAUUGCAUUUAUGAUUAUUAUACUGUGAUUGUAUAUAUUUGCAUAUGUGUUUGCAUGCAUCAUAUUACCACUGUGCUGGAUUUUAGAUAGGUUGGUUCCUCUGAUUUGGGGUGGGUGUUCUGAGUGGGGCUAAAACCCAGGCCCGAGUAUACACCUAGGAUUAGCGUGGUCUCAUGUUGCCUCUCAUGUUAGGUCAACAUGUUUUUGGCAACGUGACAUACCACAGAUCGGACGAAGGUUCUUCUGAGAGAGUCCUUCCGGGUGGAGUUUAUUCCACUUUGGUUGGGUUACCUCUUUUGAGUGUGACUUCGGUGCACGUUCUCUCCCGGAUCUUUUGGUUUAGACGAUCUUAUGAGGAGCUUGCAGCCGGCACACCCGAAAGGGCAAACCCGUUGAGUAUCUUGUCCGAUUGUCGAGACCAUUAUCCGCCUUAGGAUGACCUUGUUAGAAUUCACCUGUGAGGGGAGGGUUUGAUUCUUACAGGUACAGAUUCUGAUGGUGACUAUUGGAUGGUGACUUUGGUUCAGUUGGAUUUAUAGAUAUUUAUUUCUGAGACGCCGGAGUUCUGUCUGUGGUAUUUAUCAGCGGGUUCCGUUUAUUUCAGGAUCCCCGGGUUGAAUUUAUGUGUACUUGUUCAGAGGAUCUUGUGGUUAUCUGUUCAGAGGAUUUCUAUGAUGAUGGUGAUAUAUCCUCAGGUUCCAUUUAUUUCGGAACUCUCAAGUUGGAUUUAUGGUUACUCCGUGCCUCAGAUGGUUGUGAUCAGUUCUGAGACCGCAAUCCAGUACAGUUGAUGAUCAGAUGACUUGGAGGAUGGCACAGUGCAUUGCAUUCAUGCAUCAGCAUCAUUCACAUUUUGCAUUCAUCCUCAUCUAACUCAUGUUUAUCCAUACUCAGGGUACAUUCUUGAUAGAGAUUCUGGUUGAGAGACAUCUUGAUGUCAGAAUGUUAUUGUCAAAUUAUUAUCCGUCUCGAUGAAGUCAGAAUCGAAGGACAAAAUGUUCCUCAUACGGAUAGACAUUGCAUUCAUGCGUGAGUCAUAAUAACCUGUCUUCUAUUUUGCAGGUGUCAGUAUCUAACAUGUUUGAUUGACUCAGGAAUCAUUGCUCGCACACACCGAGUCAUUCCUUUGCACGUAGCUCGUCCGCACGGAUACCCCACCAGACGCAACAAACCCAGACUGAUGGAUCCACCCAACUCUGACAUUCUUGAGCUGAAAGAGAAGAUGGGUGAGUUAAUCAACGCCAGGCAAGGGUUUGCCCUUGGGCAGCAAGCGAUCGUCGAAAAGGUGGAUAAGGCCAAGGCUUUAGCCAGGGCAAAAGGAAAACAGGCGGUGGAAGAGGAUAAGUUUGGGAUUGGUUAUCAGUCGGGCCAAGGUUCAUCAGGGCAGAAUAAAGGACGUCGUCAACCGUUCAUGUUCACCAGUGCUGGAAUGCUAGAUCUAGAUCGCAUCUGUGCGGUGGGUGAAGAGAUCGACAGUGACUGCGAGCUGGACUCAUGGAUAAAACCGUGCGUACCAGGGAUGGAGAUCCAGAACUGGAUGGCCAAAAAGAUCAUCACUGUCACUCUACGUGAAGAGUAAUAUUUCUGUUUUUCAAUUCUAUCUGCAUGAAAAUCAUACGUUUUGCCCGAAACGUAAUGGUCCAUUGUAAGGGCCACCUCAUGUGUUUCAUUUUGCAUUGUUUGCAUCAUUAAUAAAAGGAUGUUUUUCACAUUAAAAGCGGUGUUCCCUGUUUUUCAUUUAUUUUUGCAGUUUAAUCAAAAUAAAAAAUGGCAAUGUUUAUUUUCAUUUUUCCUUCCUUUUGAUUGGCUUCAUUCCGACUUUUGUAUUCUCCGGAUCUCAUUGAUAACAACCCUGUUACACCCUCAUAUGACUUCGACAAUCCGAUCUAUCAUGCCGAAGAAGAAGGCGAAGAAGAUUGUGAACUGCUGGAAAAAUUAGCCAGGUUGUUGAAACAAGAGGAUAAGGUGAUUCAACCGCACGAGGAGCAAGUUGAGAUUAUGAAUCUGGGUACCGAGGAGGUCAGAAAGGAAGUGAAAGUUGGGGCUGCUUUGGAGGUAAAUGUCAAG